AGAAACAUCCGGCUCUCUCGGCAGGACGCCCACGCCACACGCUCCACGUCCUGAACACAGACACGGAGCUGCAUACAAGAUUGUGGCCAAAACUGCAGGAAUGUAGGCUGCUACAAGAAGCUUCCAAUGGCAAGUGACGAGUCAUGCAGAGGUCUUUUUGAGAAGAAACUAAACUGUAC
This is a non-coding RNA of Pimephales promelas (fathead minnow), 179 nucleotides long. The record is from RefSeq and is a predicted model, not a curated record. Lineage: Eukaryota; Metazoa; Chordata; Actinopteri; Cypriniformes; Leuciscidae.